UACGUAGGGGGCUAGCGUUGUCCGGAAUCAUUGGGCGUAAAGCGCGUGUAGGCGGUCCGGUAAGUCCGCUGUGAAAGUCGGGGGCUCAACCCUCGGAUGCCGGUGGAUACUGUCGGGCUUGAGUACGGAAGAGGCGAGUGGAAUUCCUGGUGUAGCGGUGAAAUGCGUAGAUAUUGGGAGGAACACCAGUGGCGAAGGCGGCUCACUGGACCGGAACUGACGCUGAGGCGCGAAAGCGUGGGGAGCAAACAGG
Molecule: ribosomal RNA, 253 nt
Filed under: uncultured bacterium
Lineage: Bacteria
Description: partial 16S ribosomal RNA
Rfam family: Bacterial small subunit ribosomal RNA
Source: RNAcentral